Molecule: long non-coding RNA, 1390 nt
Organism: Etheostoma spectabile (orangethroat darter)
Lineage: Eukaryota; Metazoa; Chordata; Actinopteri; Perciformes; Percidae
Exons: 3
Source: RefSeq, a predicted model, not a curated record
CAUAGAAAACAUGAAACAACUGUGCAUACUACAAUUACCAAAGCCUGCCGCUUAUCUAACCUUUCAGACGGCCACAUACACACGCUGUAAAUGUGCCUCUGUUUGGUCAAAAGAUGAAGACAAUAUGGGUCUCAUAUACGGUACAAAUAUAACUCAAAGGACUGAAACCCCGUCAAAGACUUGUUUAACACUGAAUCAAAGUUGUGCUAUCUGGGUCUGAGAAGACAGCCAGCGAGGAGAAUCCAACAGAUUCGUGAGGUACAUUGAGUUGAAUCCAAGUUUGCGGUUUCUUUUUAUUCUUUCAUUUCUUUUCAUUUUUUUGAAACAUAAUUCCUUAUUUGAAGGGAAUCAUUGUUCUCUUUUAACUGACUCUGUGUGUUGAGGGAUGAUGAAGUAUUGCAGUCUAGCUCCAUGUUAACACUGGAUGAAAUGAAGUAUAUGAGUCUGGCAAGCGUUCACAGCUUAAACUAUGGCUUAUGAUGACAGGAGAUAAAGGACACAUUGGAUAGUUUUUAACGAUAAAAGAUUUUAAAAGGGAUGAAAGCUGAUUAUUUUUAUUGUAUAUCUUAGAGAAAUGUUACUUUUAAACAAAAGCUGACGAUGAAGGGGAAUAUUUUGACUACAGAUUACAACCAUCUGUUCUUUUGAAAGUGACUUUUUAUGCCAAGUUCUGUGUACACACACACACAGACACACACACUCUUCAUAUAACACACACACACUUCAUAUAACACACACACCUUUGAUUUUGAUGAAGACUACAUUAACUUGACAUAUGCAUAUAAACAGCUGUGAUUCUCUUCCUUCAAUUAAGGUUUAACAAGCGAAUGAGCAAAAAAAAGGUUAGAUCUUAUAUGAAUAUAUAAUAUGUUACUUAUAUGUUCUUUUACUCUGAUCACAUUGUGGAAAUUUGCUGCAAUGGAAGAACUUCUAUUUUUUGACGUAUAAAUUAUUGGAAUGUGAUGAUAAACAUUUUAUUUUAUUUUACUUGACGAAUAUGAUAUGAAAGAAAGUUGUACAGUAUAUUCAUCAUAUUUAUGCUAGAGAUGUUAAAAAGGAGAGGACCACACAUACUGCUAUGAAUUUUGCUUUAAAUAGCUACAGCUACAUUUAGUGCAUGUAGCUGCUUCUUCUCCCUUAAAUAGCUACAGAUCUCAGUUUGAUACCCAGGCGGCCCUCCACUGACCUCAUAUUUCCCAGGAAGCCAGUAAACAUUGGCUUUGUCAUUACAUUUUCCUGUACUGCGUGUAACUGGUGUGUAAACAGUCUCUAAAUGGUCUUUGCGUCAUUAAAGUGCAACAGUAACAUUUCAAGUUUUGUGCAAAUGUGACUUUACAUCAGUGGAAUGUGCACCAAAUAAUUAUACAGUUUGGCAUGUGUCAGUCUCAGU